CAUGAGGGCACACGAUCCCAUGGGUGGUAUCUGACUGUCUUACAACUGCUCACAGAAUUUAAGAAACAGGCAUAUAUUAGCAAGGCUGAGAACUGUGUUAGGAUUCCUGAAAGAUUCUUGAGGGAGCUGCUUGCAUGUGAUCACUCUCCCAGAUAUAAGACCUUGUGUAACCUUCUGCGCUGGGAUGAAUUUCAGCCGGUGGUAUAGCUUCUGACGCUUACAGUGUAGUGGACAGUGUGGAAAAGCCUGGAGACCUGGU
This is a long non-coding RNA of Mauremys mutica (yellowpond turtle), 259 nucleotides long. RefSeq lists it as uncharacterized. The record is from RefSeq and is a predicted model, not a curated record. NCBI's taxonomy places the organism in Eukaryota, Metazoa, Chordata, Testudines, Geoemydidae. The transcript has 3 exons.